AUGCUAGCUUUGGCAACACAUAUAAUAAAAUUGGAAUGAUACAGAGAAGAUUAGCAUGGCCCCACAAGGAUAACACGCAAAUUCAUGAAGCGUCCCAUAUUUUU
Molecule: small nuclear RNA, 104 nt
Organism: Rattus norvegicus (Norway rat)
Lineage: Eukaryota; Metazoa; Chordata; Mammalia; Rodentia; Muridae
Source: Ensembl